CGACCGGAGCACCCGCUGGGGUUGGAGUUGCAUCGGAGGUACGAGCCACCUCGCCGUCGAUAGCUCAUCCCACUGAUUGAAGUUCGGCCUCCGAGGCAGCCAGGCCAUCGGUGAGUCGGGAGAUUUUCUCCUCGAGCCUGGCCUCGCAGUCGAUCGACGACUUCAGCUGCUCCACCAGCGUCGCCUUCUCGGCUUCGACGGUUUGCAUUCCCAAUGAGACGUCUGACAUCGGAUCGUUCGUUGAUGACGUCGGC
This 254-nucleotide long non-coding RNA is filed under the name Elaeis guineensis (African oil palm). Its description in RNAcentral is "long non-coding RNA (EGUI_LNC030434)". The record is from RNAcentral. Lineage: Eukaryota; Viridiplantae; Streptophyta; Magnoliopsida; Arecales; Arecaceae.